ACACAGAAAUUGUUGUCAAGGAGAAUAUUGCUGGGUUUUCACGUCACGGUGCACAAUAACAGAAGCAUGAAGAUAUGCCAGUGCACAUGCAGUCUCCACAGCAAUGUUCAUUCGAGUAGACCAAGGCAGUGCACAAGCUUUGCUCUUUCACCAUGAGAUGAUCAGCAGUGUACCAUUGGGAAUGUACUGAUAUACUANNNNNNNNNNNNNNNNNNNNNNNNNNNNNNNNNNNNNNNNNNNNNNNNNNNNNNNNNNNNNNNNNNNNNNNNNNNNNNNNNNNNNNNNNNNNNNNNNNNNGAACAGUUACCAGCAUCACAAGAUUUGAGACGACUCCGAUCACGGCAAGAACAAUUGAAUUCAUAUCCCCAACGCCCACCACUGCUCUCACAAGUGCUACAAUUAUGAGCAGUCCAAUUCAUAAGGAACCCCAUCUUCAAAACCUCAAUAUAAUUUGCCGUAUGCAGUCUACCAAUAUCUUCAUAAGUGUGGAUAGGAGCAUUAGCAAAAUCUUGGCAUGAAUUCAAUGAGUAAAUGCUGUGCAUCUCUCUUUCUUCCAAGUGAAAAUCGGCAAAAGAAUAAUGUGUAGAAUUUGUGGCACAACUUAAAUUAUGGAGAGGGUAGUUAUCUACGGGCUUUGAGGUACAAUUGUAGAAGAAGGAGAGAUUAGUAUAGCCAGGACUAAUAGUAAAGGUUCUAUCAAGCCUAAUGUUAUGCAAAGGAGUUGGACAGGUUUCCUCAUACACAGCAGCUUUAGCCACGCGCAUAGAAUUAGUGGCAUAAGAGAUACUUUUAAUGAUAUAAACAUCAUUGGAAAUUGCGAGUACUGGCCCUUUGUCACUGCAGGUGAGCAUAAAAUUUGGAUAGCCACAAAAGGAUUCUUGUUCUUGAGAUAGCCAAAAAGGGUAGCUUAUGUUAGGGCCAGCACCACAGUUUUUUGGUUCACAAGAUUUCAACUUUGGAUCCUGUGAUACGGUUUGGGUGGCCAAGUAUGUGAAAAGAAAGACACAGUUGUAGAUAGAAAGAAGCUUUCUGAAUGCGAAGGAGUUAUUGGGAUCCAUUUGGAGUGCUCAAAAACAGAGGAAGAAAGGGGAGACAUAAGGGUUUGAAACAAAGUUCCUAUGUAGUUGGUAAGACUUGGCUUUAAGAGUCUUUGAAUUGGCUAACGUUGUUGCUUUCGUUUAUUCGUGAUUGAAAAAGGAAGGAAGGACAGAAACAAACCAUUUUGUGGAAGCAAAAGCAAAAGCAAGUUGCUUGCUAUUUCAUCAACCUAGAAAAGUCCACAAAAUCUUGUGUGGUUGCUAUGAGCUAUGAGUCUAAAUGACGACUGGUCCAGUCUUGGGUGGUGCCUAAUCAUGGCAUGGGGUAAAUAAUAAUAUUACCAGACAUCAGAAUUCUAGUGUAGUCGUUAAACGACUUGCGACGCGGAUUGGCCGACUCUUCAAUAUCAAUUCUGCUUUCAAUGUCAGAGGAUAGGAUAUUUUGAUGGAAAAGACAAUGACUUUUCUUUUUAUUUUAUAGAAUUCGUCAAUAGUUUUCCCAGGUUUCAGAGGAUAUACAAGGAGUUUUGAUACGUACAAAUGACAAAAAUUUAAUAGUAUUAGUAAUUUUUAAAAUAUUUUUUAUUUAAAAACAUAUUAAAAUAUUUUUUUAAAAAAAAAAAUUUAUUUUUAAAAUUAACACAUCAAAACAAUCUAAAAACACUAAAAAAUUAAUUUUAAAAAAUCAAAUUUUAACAAAAAAAAAAAACCAGGUUAAAACACAAUUCAAAUAAGAGUGCUCUGUAGAAUUAUCAAUAAGAUGAUAAAAAUCUAUUUUGAGAAUGCAGUGAAUCUCGUGAUUAACAUUGCGAUACAACUGUCUUUUUUUAAUUUCUUAAAAAAUUUUGCUUUUAGUUUCAAAUUAAAAUUUUAUUUUGUAUUUUUUAAUUGUUUUGAUAUGUCAAUAUCAAAAUUAAAUUUAAAAAAAAUAUAUUUUUAAAUAUUUUUAAAUAAAAAAUAUCUUAAAAAAUAAUUAAAAAUAAUAAACAUCAAGCAAUUAAUAUUGAAAUUGAAGGUUUGAGUGGUUGACUUUUAAGGCAGGAGUGGUUAGUUGAAGCGGAAGUGGACAGCUCUUUUGCAACUCCCUUUGAGAAAUGAUCCGCUAGAUACCUAAGAAUUGAGCUGUGGUGUUGCCUUAGGAGAGGAUGGACUGAGCCCAUGAGUUUUGGUUAGGCUCAAGGAAGUUUUGAGUCUGGCCUUUGUUAAGGAAACCAAGCUGAAGUUUAUUUUAAGAAAACACUACUGUCAAGAAGAAAAUAGAAACCAUUGUUAACUAGCCACAAAUAUAUAUAUAUAUAUAUAUAUAUAUAUAUAUAUAUAUAUAUAGACUCCAGGACAAAACUCAGAAUUAAUUGAUUUCUACUGUGUUCUAAUUAAUCAGAGAAUUUGGUUUAGUUAGGGUUUUACCUUGGGGAAUUCCCUAAGGAAGUGUUUCUAAUGCUACACCAUGAUAGACUAGACAUUAUAAUAAUUUAAGGAAUUACUUCGAUAAAUAUAAAAAUAAAAAUUAUUAUUAUUAUUAUUAUAGUUUUAAAAUCUAAUUCGGAGAUAGACUUGUGACCAAGUCCAGGUCACAAAUCAGGGUGACUAUUGACUCGUAUUAAUGUAAAGAUAAAAUAAUUAUUAUUAGAGUUCUAAAACUCAACUUGGGAGCAGGUCCGGGCUGAAUAUGUUUGGGUCACAGGUCGGGAUGAUUAUUUACUCGAGUCAACAUAAGGAUACAAAUUAUUAUUACCAUAAUCUUUAAACCGAUUCGGGAGUCAACUCGGGGCCAAGCUCGAGUCACGGGCUAGUUUGAUCAUUGACUCGAAUCAACAUAAAAAUAAAAUGAUUAUUAUUAUAGUUUUAAAAUCCUAAUUGAGGGUCGACCCGAGGCUAGGCUUGGGUCAUGAGUCAGGUUGACCAUUAACCCUAAUCAAUGUAAGGAUAAAAAUGAUUAUUAUCAUAAUUUUAAAACUCAACUAAGAGGUUGACCCGGGGCUAGACUUGGGUCAUGGGUCAAGUUGACAUUGAUCUGAAUCAAUGUAAAGAUAAAAAUAAUUAUUAUCAUAAUUUUAAAACUCAACUAAGGGGUCUACCUGGGACAAGGUUCAAGCUAUGGUUUAGGAUGGUCAACCUAGGUUGACCUAAAGCAACAUAAAAAUAAUAAUUGUUAUUAUCGUAAUGAGGUCGACUUGGGUAAGGCCUAAGUCACGGCUUGGGAGGGUCAACAUGGGUUAACCUAAAUUUUUUUAAAAAAAUCAACGCAACCUCAUUUCGACUAUAUAUAAAAAAAAUCAAUGGAUUUUUUACCUGUGUUUUAUCCCGAGUAGACUAGAUCAUAGGUUGACCCGAGUUUUUGAUCGGAUCAAUCAUUCUUCUAUUUUUUAAAAAACUUGGAACAGUCUAAACCUUAAGUUGGUCAAGUCCAGUCUAAUGUUUAGCAAACAUAAAAUAAAACAAAUUAUCUAAUCCAAUUCAAAUCACACCAAAUACAAAACAAAAUAAUUAUUUAUCCAAUCCGGUUGAAUCAAUAUUUUCAGGCAUACCAAAAUCUACCAAAUGUUCCAUAUACAUCUGGCUGUUUGCUCUUGUGAUUGUGUCCUAUUACUACGACGUCCUUAUAAAAUUUUGAUUAAGAACAGAGCCCCCAAGUACUUUUAUUCCUAAUUAUCAACCCUAAUUUCCCCCCACUAACUUCAUUACCCUGGCAAAUAACAUGAAACGCAAUAGGUAGAAUAGGUACUAAUAAUUAACAAGGGGAAAAAAGGAGAGAGAGUGAGGCAUGCCGAGCUUACCUUGACACACAAAAGCAUAAGGUUGGUCACGGCAAAGGCACAUGAACUCUUUAUCCGGAUGGGUCAUGUUAGUUCCACAUAUUCCUCUUGAAGCCAUACAUCCCUCGCAAAUUGAAGGACCUUGAUCAUACUCGUACGACACAUUGAACCUUUCUCCUAAAACCUCCUCCAAUUCUGGUCUAUCACCCACAAGUAGCUCACCAAAAGACUUAGCAAUGGGAAUUCUAAUCCUCAUGCUACAUUGCAUUACGUCUAGCCCACUGUUUGCCAAGAUAUCAUCAUUUCCAUAGAAUGAGCUCCCAGUAUAUCCAUUACAAAUCGAAAUUCUGUUAACUGUCGAGCUAGGUAUAGAGCAAUUGUAGAGUAAGUUGAGGUUUUGAAGGCUCAGGUCAUAACCGAAAAUAUGGAUGUCGCUGCCACUGCUUGAAUUGGUUUUUAUUUGAGUAGGACAAAUGUACUCCUGGAAAUUCACUAGCUGAAGAGCCAUCAACCUGGAAGAUUGCUUUAGAUUCAAUAAGCGUAAUUCAAGCGUGUCGCUGGCUAUUAUAGGGAGCUGACCUUCUUCACACUUGAGCUUGAACCCCUUGUGUCCACAAACUUCAGGUCGAUCACCUCCCCAAAAAGGGUAAGAAAGUUCCGGCAAGAGUCCACAACUAAAGGGCUUCUCGCAAUCUGUGUAAUCCUUAUCAUCAUCUCCAUAGGAGGUUGAUACAGGGAUUAUUAGGACAGAGAAGACGGUUGUGAUAAUGGGGUGGUGUUGAUAGAGAGAGAGACGGGCAACCAUUUUUUUUUUAAAAAAAAAAAAAAAACGUGAAGAGACUCUCUUUAACGAGGAGAAGGGGAUUUAACUGGUGGCUCAACCCAUAGAUUGUUCCAUCAUUUUGUAGGAAAUGAAAGAGAGAGGAAGGUCGAUGCUUUGUGCCAUGUAUUGUAAACAAAGGGACCCUUACUUGUUUUGACACAGACAAAAUAUAUAUAUAUAUAUAUAUAUAUAUAUAUAUAUAUAUUAAGAUCAAAGUUGACCAUUGACCUCCAAGUUGGCAGUCGAAACAUUUUUGGACUGUGCUUGGUGCACAAGAGAGCUACAGGAGGGCUUCAAAAGAGAGAUACCUGGGAGGGUUAGGCAUCACUGGUGAUUGUUUGGUUCUGUGAUUACUUUUAUUUUUAAUGCAAGCACAUAAAGAAAUUAUUUGGUUAAUUACGUAAUUUCUUUUUUUAUAGUGAACUUUUACAUAUAAUUGUGUUUGAAAUCUUAGGAGGUAAGGCAGCUCAGAAACCUUAUGCCCUUCAAUGUUGAAAAGGGCAGAAAAAUAAAGAGUAUAUCUCUGAAAUUGUAAUAUUUUUCCACGACUUUCCACUGUAUCAGAUAACACCGUAAUAUGGUCCAGUUAGGGCUGCGGAAUUCAAGAGGCUGCACGAUGAGGUGCAAUAUCAUAUGCUUUUCUCAUCAUCAAGUUGAGUUAUAGAAGACGACUCAGGCAAGGUCAAAAAAGGAUACUUUUUGAGGGGAAAAUGCAUAUUUAGAAUGAAAAAAAAAUCCUUAAAAUAGAGCUACAACUUAAAAAAAAAAUUCUAAAAAUUUGGGUGCCAUUACCUUCUCAAAAUUAUAUCUAAUUUCGUUCAUUUCCAUAACUACUUGAUCUAUAAAAAGUAUUGUAUUUAUUAUAUGAAUUCGCCGGAGAUUACUUGAUUAAAUGGAUUCUGUGCUAAAAAUGAAUGAAUUGAACACAAUAGGACUAGAUUGAUAUUAAUUAAUUGACAUUGAAUUAACUCGAGACUGAAUUGAAUCAAAUUAGUUUAAUUGGACUAACAUGAAUGAAAUCAAUGAAUUAAUUUGGACUAAAUUGAAUUAAAUGGACUGAAAUAAACAUUCAAACAAGCUUUUCUUAUUCUCAUUGAAGUGCUUGGAUUUUGAAUUUUUACAAUCUCAUUCAAUUUACCCUUUUCAAUUGCAUGAAGUUUUACAAUCUCAUUCAAUUUAUCCUUUUCAAUUGUAUCUAUAAUGAAAUCAAUAUAGAUCUUAAAAUUUAAUUAUUUGUUGCAAAUUUAUCCUUAUCCUUAAAAUCAUGUAAUUUUAACCAAUCUAAUUUUCAAUUUUGAUUUUUUUUAAUUAAACCCUUCAAUGAUUUCUAAUCUAGCUAUUUGUUUCAUAAUUAUUAUUAAACUUCAAAUUUCUUUUACUCAAUGAGAAAUUAAAUCAAGUUAAUCUAUUUUCAAUUUUCUUUUUAAUUCAAGCCUCAAUUAUGACCUCUAAAUUCUCAAUCUCUAUCUUCUCCCGUGAUGCUCAAUUAUUUUUAGAUUUAUUUUAUUUUUGUAUUUUGUAUUAAUUUUUUUAUAUAAAUUUUAAGAUUUUUUAACACAAAAAAUAAAUAAAAAACUAAAAAUGCUGAAAAUAUAUUUUUUUGGAUUUUUUUUUAAAUAGAGGGUUAAAAUCUAGUUAUUACAAGACUCGUAGCCACCACACAUGACUAUUAUAGACUUUCCCAGGUCGAUGAAAUAGCAAGCAACUUGCUUCUGCUUGGACAAAUUGGAUUGUUUNNNNNNNNNNNNNNNNNNNNNNNNNNNNNNNNNNNNNNNNNNNNNNNNNNNNNNNNNNNNNNNNNNNNNNNNNNNNNNNNNNNNNNNNNNNNNNNNNNNNUCCGUGAUGGGCCUCGUCUCAAAUCCUUGCGAUGCUGGUAACUCUUCAUCAAAUAUUCUUUAUGAUUAAUGGUGUUGGUUUCUUUCAGCGUCAUGCGUUCUUUAUUUGAUUACUCAUUUUCCUCUGUUGCUGCAAUAUGUGGGAAACACUGCAACGCUUUUAAAUCAUGUUGUUUUCGAAAUAAGUAUCCGGAGUAUAUAUAUUUAUGGUUUCAUUUUUCCUCAUCAUUUUCUCUGUUUAUCACUUCUAUAAUAUCAUAAGAUUUCAGUGUUAAAUUAAUUGAGAUCAAAACAAGAAAGGAGGCUAGAAUUCUGAAUAAUCUGUAUAUUAUGAAUGCUUAGUCUUAACCUAAAUACAAAUAAAGUAUAUAUAGGUCAAACUGAAAGUACUAUUCUACCCUUAAUAAAUAAGACUACAUAAAUAUUAUUUAACAUCUCCCCUCAAACUCACGAUGCGACAGCUACAAGCAUCGAGAGUUUGCCAACCAGAAAACGAAAACGAGAGAUGGAAUGCGCCUUGGUAAAGAAAUCUGCAAUCUGCAAGAAAGAAGGAACAAAAGGCAAAGCAAUGGUGCCAUGUUUGAGAUGAUGACAAGUAAGAUGACAAUCGAUCUCAAUGUGCUUAGUGCGCUCAUGAAAAACCGAGUUAUGAGCAAUCUGAAUAGAACUCUGAUUGUCACAAUACAUAGGAGUAGGAUGAGAAAAGGAAAUUCUCAUAUCAGCAAGUAACCAACGUAAUUAAACAAUCUCUUUGGUAGUAGAUUCCAUGGCACGAUAUUCUACUUCGGUGGAUGAUUGAGAAACAAUAGAUUGUUUCUUGCUCUUCCAAGAAAUAAGAGAAUCACCUAAAAAGAUACAGAACCCGGUAACAGACUUGCGAUCUGUAGGAUCACUACCAUGAUCAGCAUCAGAGUAUGCACGCAACUUCAAGGAAGAGGUGGAUGAAAGUAAAAGACUUUGAAAAAUUGUACCCCGAAGAUAUCGUAAAAUACGAAGAACAGCUGCCCAGUGAACAGUAGUAGGAGAAGCAACAAACUGACUAACAACAUGAACAACAUAUGUAAUAUCUGGAUGAGUAAUGGUGAGACAUACCAAACUCCCAACAAUAGUGCGGUAUAAAGUAGGAUCUAUCAAAGGUAAACCAUCAGAAGAAGAGUACCUUGUGUUAACCUCAAUAGGAGUAUCUACAGUCUUGUUAUCAGUAAGUCUAGCCCGCUCAAGAAUAUCUGCAACAUAUUUUGACUGAGAAAGAAGGUAACCUCUAGGUGAGUAUGCUACCUCAAUACCCAGGAAAUAUCGAAGAUAACCCAAAUCGUUUAUUUCAACUCUGUCUUCAAAACUGAAAUACCAUCAAUAUCAUCACCAGUAAUAAUCAUGUCAUCAACAUAUAAAGACAGAAUGAUACGUCCUGCAUCAGUGCACUUAAUAAAAAGAGCAGAAUCAUGACUGCUAGAAACAAAGCCAAGAGACGAGAUCACAAUAGAGAAUUUCUCAAACCAAGCACGAGGUGCUUGUUUGAGACCAUAUAAUGCUUUCUUAAGCUUAUAAACAUAUCCAGAGUCAUGUGAAAUACCAGGAGGGGGUGCCAUAUAAACUUCUUCUUGAAGAUCUCCAUUCAAGAAUGUAUUUUUAACAUCAAGCUGAGAAAUAUGUCACUGACGAAUCGAAGCUACGACAAUAAAAGUACGAAUAGUAGUCAUUUUUGCAACCGGGACAAAUGUCUCCUCAUAGUCCAUACCAUACUGUUGAGAGUAUCCUUUUGCAACCAGCCUAGCUUUGUAUCGCUCAAUAGACCCAUCAGAAUUAGUCUUGAUCUUAUACACCCAACGACAACCAACAACACUCUUACCAGGAGGUAGAGGAACCAGAUCCCAAGUAUCUGUCUUAUGCAAAGCAGAAAGUUCCUCAUCCAUAGCUUGCUGCCAAAGCGGAUCAAGAAUUGCCUUUUUAUAGGAAGAGGGCUCAAAGAGACAAUGAAUAGAAGCUAAAAAGGAAGUAAAUGAUGAAGAAUAACAAGAAUAAGCAAAAUCUAGUAGUUUUGUGGACUUACGAAUGCGGAUGGACUGACGUGGAGGUGGUUCCACAAUCUCAGAUGAAGCUUGAGGGGCUGUAGAUGAGAAUGGAGCUUCAGGUGUGCCAGAGAGUAAAGUACCAGUACCUGCAGAGUUAUGAGUACAAAUUGAUCGAACAUAGGGAGAGGUAUCAUUACCAGAAUCCUCAAAAAAAGGAUCUAUAUGAAUAAGAUCAGAUUUUAUCAGGCAAUGAGUAGUGGAUAGAAUAGAAAAGAAAGGUAUAUGUUCGAGGAAGACAACAUGACGAGACACAUAAAGUUUCUGAGUUAUUGGAUCAAAACAACGAUACCCCUUUUUACCUUCACCAUAACCCAGAAAGACACAAAUAGCGGAUCGAGAGGAUAGCUUACUGUGUUCUACAUGAGGACGAAGAACGAAACAAGUACAACCAAAGACUCUAAAUGAGGAAUAAUCAGGGACAUACCCAUAUAACUUUUCAAAAGGAGAUAGACCCAAACUAUGAGAAGAUGGAAUUGUAUUAAUCAAACUUACAGCAGUAAGAACAGCUUCUCCCCAAAACUCACUAGGAACAAAAGCAGACAACAAGAGAGAACGAGCAGUUUCGACAAUGUGCCUAUGUUUUCUUUCAGCUACACCAUUUUGUUCAGGAGUAUCUGUACAUGAAGUUUGGUGGAUGGUUCCAUCUAAGGCAAACAUUUGACAAAAUUUAUUAGAGGUGUAUUCCUUACCCAAAUCACACCUAAAGCAUUUGAUCACAGCAGAAUGUUGAGUUUUGAUAAGAGCUCGAAAAGCUGCAUAUAUCUCAAAGAAUUCAUAACGAUGUUUCAUUAAAUAAACCCAACAAUAACGAGUAUGAUCAUCAAUAAAAGAAACAUAAUAUCGAGACCCUCCUUUUGUGGAAACAGGAGAAGGUCCCCAUACAUCAGAAUGAAUCAAAUCAAAUGGUGAAGAUGAAACAGAAAUACUUCGAUUAAAAGGUAAAGCAGAAAAUUUUGCCAGUUUACAUCCACUACAAUCAGAAAUGUCACAAGUUUUCAAAUUUUCUAAAGCUCCUGUGAAUGCCAAAAAUCUCAAACGAGAAGACGAAACAUGACCUAGACGGGAAUGCCAUAAAUAAAAACUAGAAGAUGAAAGACUCAAACGAAAGGAAGACAAAUCAGCAGUAGUAGUAGCAGCAGCGGCAGCAGCAGCAACUGACACUUUUAACUCAUCCAAAAUAUAUAGUCCAUUCUCCCUACGGCCUGUCCCAAUCAGCUUCUGAGACUGCAGAUCCUGUACACAACAAAAAGAACCAGAAAACAUGACUAAAUAAUCACCAGAAUCACAUAUUUGACCAACAGACGCAAGAUUCAAUUUGAGUUUUGGAAUAAGAUAAACAUUAGGGAGAGACAAGUGAGGUGUGACAACAGAACCAACACCUGUUAAGGGCAUAUGAGUGUUAUCAACAGUCAUAACAGGAAUGGAGGACAAAGGGGACACUGAGGUAAAUGAUGAGGAAUCUGGAGACAUAUGAUGGGAAGCACCAGAAUCUAAGACCCAUUCAGAGUGUGACAUACUUGAGGAACUAUGAGGCAACUGACCUAUGGAAGAGGCAGACAUUGCUUGUGGUUGCAAGGAGAGAAACUUCUGAAAUUGCUCAGCCAAAGUAUUAGGAUCGGUAAUAGAGCCUGGGGAAGCUACUGCUGCAGUAUUGUGGUGUGGUGGUUUAUAACCCUGAGGUGAUCGAUGAGCAUUAGAUUGUGACUAACUGCCAGACUUCCAAGCUUGAUUCUGCUGUCUCAACUUAGGACACUGAGCCUUCCAAUUACCUUUCUGCUUACAGAAACUGCACUCAUCGAAGUCAACCCUUGUGUAAGGCUUGUUCUAAUGAUUAGAGAAUGGCUUAGAAGGUACUGCUAGUACAGAAGGAUUUGAAGCAGAAAGAAUUCCCUUUUCAGAAUAAGACUGAAGAUGUAUUUCUUCAGCCAAUAACUCACUAACAACAGAGUCAACAGAAGGCAGUGGAGAACGAUGCAGAAUUGAACCUCUAAGUCCUUCGAAAUCACUGCGAAGUGCUGUUAAAAAUUGUACCAAUCGUUGCUGCUCUUUACGUUCAAUAUAAGCACCACAUGCUUUUAAUUCUGCAGAUUCUGUAAGAGCCAAUUGAUCCCAAAGAUCUGUCAUGGCAGAAUAGAACUCCUGAAUACUCAUAUUCUUCUGGUGAAGAGCUCGUAUGUCAUUCUCUAACUGAUACUGUUUUGCAAAAUUUGAUUGCGUGAAUAACCGUUGCAGGUGAUCCCAAACCUCCUUUGUUGUCUCAUACUUUGCCAACUGUGUACCUAUAGAAUGCUCAACAGAAUUGUUGAUCCAAGUAAUGAUCUUUGCAUUGUUUGCUUCCCAUGCAUCUAUCGAAGCAGUAUCUCCUUCUUCAGUAUUCUUAGGUACCACAUAAGUUCCACUAACAUAUCCCCACAUCUUCUUACCCUUAAGAAAAUUUCUCAUUACAUAGCUCCAAUAUGAAUAGUUCUUCCCAUCCAACCUAACACUCACAGACUGAAGCGAAUCAUCUCUUUCAGUAGCCAUAAUCAACAAUCACAGAGAACCAGAAUGCAAAAGCAGCGGAAAACAAAAUACCAAAUUGCAAAAACUGAACAGAGAUUGCAGAAACUAAACAAAUAUCUUCUCAAAGUUAUACGAUUACUCCAAAACACAAAACAAAUUUGCAGAAACUGAACGAAAAUACCAAAUUGCAAAAGCUGAAGGGAAGACGAAAUACCAAAAUAAUUGCAGAAACUGACGAAAUACCAAAUUUUGCAAAAGCGGAAGACAAAAUCUCACUCCAAAAAUUUUUUGAACUUGUGUUUGGGAUUAAGCCUCAUUUCAUAAAACCAGCUCUGAUACCAUGUUAAAUUAAUUGAGAUCAAAGAAAGAAAGGAAGCUAGAAUUCUGAAUAAUCUGUAUAUUAUAAAUGCUUAGUCUUAACCUAAAUACAAAUAAAGUAUAUAUAGGUCAAACUGAAAGUACUAUUCUACCCUUAAUAAAUAAAACUACAUAAAUAUUAUUUAACAUUCAGGAUAUGAAAGAAUACGUUUUGUUCAGAUUUUCUUCUACAUGUAAAGCUGCUCCCAUCUCACACUAAUGCAUUACUCCACUUGAAUUGUUCCGCAGGCUCAAGUCUUAAUGUCGGACGGGAGAUUAUUAUUAUUAUUGGUAAGAUAGUCCCCUGACCUCUUCCUGCUUUGAUCCUUACUGAAUGCUGUGUGCCUUUUCCUCUUCAUUAUCUUUCUAACUGAGCUGGAAUUCAGAAUGUUCAUCAGUCCCUCGCCUUCUCUGUAUAGCUAUUUCAGUAUAAUCAUGAUGAUGUGUGUGAUUCAAACUCUGGUGCAAAUAAUUGAAUUCGUGUUUAUACUGAAACCAUCUGGCUGGUGAUUUUUCUACGCCAACAAAUAGAAGUCACUGUUGUUAUGAUUGGUUGAACUUUGCCCGGAUCCUAAACACAAUUUGACGUGGUUCGGCAACUCACCUUUGUCAACCGGGCAGCCAAUAUCAUUAUAUAGAGAAAAAUUACAAAUAUACAACAAUGGAGGAGGAGGAACUCCCUGUACUCUAUCCCCACUCGUGUAUCACAUCUCUCUUACUCUCUGCUGCUGCUGCAGCUGCUGCCCAUGGCAGCUUCUUUCUCCCUCUUUUGUUGCUACUGCUAGUAUUGGUUCUUGUAUUGGCUCUAUUUAUAGUGGAAAUGGGCGGGACGAACAUCCCCAUUUCUGUCCCCAAUCCUAGCAUCAAUGGCAGACAAUUAGCCAUGAUUUCUGCCCAUUUCAAAUCCUCCAUUUCAGCCUCUCUUCAAGCCUUGUUUACAUCUCAUCAAAGCUAGGACUGUGGGAGUUCGUCUCCACACUCAACAACUGUAGAUCUUUAAUUUUAAAUUAAGGGAUCAUAUUCAUCUUUCAACAGAGAGAGUUGCUCAUUUAAUUUUAAUUUUUUUUCCCUUGCAAUUUAGCUCUGCUUUGUUCAGACUGGUUUGGCUGCACAAAAUAUUUUAGUAGAGAACACUUUGGCACUAUUUAUGCUUGGUCUGUCUCCUCCUCAGAAAAUUCAUUACUUGUCUGAAUUUAUUUUUUGAAAGCUUUCCUUGUUCCUCCUGAAUCAAGAGAACAUUUUUCUGUUUCUGCUGCUGUUUUUGUAUCAUGACAAUGUCAGUCCCCAAGUAACGCAUCAGCCUCCUCAACUGGCAGGUGUUGUCUCUGGAUCAGCAGGAAUUUUAUUCAUCUGCGUGAUUCUUUAUUCCAGAAGGAAGGCCUCAUCAACUACCACUCCUAUUUUUCUAAAGAAGAAACAUAAUCAAGAUCUUGAGGUUUUCAUAAGAAACCACGGACCACUAGCACUGAAAAGAUACAAUCUGUCGGAUGUUAAGAAAAUGACCAAUUUUUUCAAAGAUAAACUUGGUCAAGGAGGCUAUGGAAUUGUUUACAAAGGAAAGCUACAGGAUGGCCAUCUGGUGGCAGUGAAGGUCACGCAAGCUUCAAAAGGGGACGGGGAAGAAUUCAUAAAUGAGGUUGCAAGCAUCAGUAGAACUUCCCAUGUCAAUAUUGUCACUCUACUGGGAUUUUGUUUGGAGGGUGACAAAAGAGUUCUCAUUUAUGACUUCAUGGUCAAUGGAUCGCUUGAAAAGUUCAUAAAUCAUAAAAAUGCUUCGCAAGCCAAUCAACAGCUGGGAUGGAAUAAAUUGUACCAGAUUUUAGUUGGCGUUGCUCGAGGGCUUGAGUAUUUGCAUCGAGGGUGCAAUACAAGGAUUGUGCAUUUUGACAUUAAGCCUCAUAACAUUCUUCUUGAUGCAGAUUUUUCCCCUAAGAUAUCCGACUUUGGACUUGCGAAGCCUUGCACUAGGAAGGAGAGCAAUGUAUCGCUAUUGGAGGCAAGAGGAACCAUUGGAUAUAUAGCACCAGAAGUGUUCAGUAGAAACUUUGGACAAGUUUCACACAAGUCCGAUGUCUAUAGUUAUGGAAUGAUGGCUCUAGAAAUUGUUGGAGGACGAAAGAAUCAUGAAGCUGAAAUGAGUUCCAGUAGCGAAAAAUAUUUUCCAGACUGGAUUUAUAGGCAUCUUGAGCUAGAUGAUGAGUUUGAAUUGAAUGGCGUGACAAAUGCAGAACAAUCUGAUAUUAUGAGGCAAAUAGCAAUAGUUGGCUUGUGGUGCAUCCUCACAAAUCCAUCUGAUAGACCAUCCAUGAGAAAAGUGAUAGAAAUGUUGGAAGGACCUCUUGGAGCAUUGAAGAUUCCACCGAAGCCUCGCCUGUAUUCUCCUCCAAGAUUACUUUCAUAUUCAUCUACUACAUCAUUAGCAUGAACUUGUAUCACAAUAUCGUAUGAAGAUAAUGGAAUGUUUCACAUCAAUCAACUGAGUGGCUCAUGUGAUUUUCUGAUGUAUUCACGAGAAUAAAACUAGAUUCAGCUUCAUUUAUACGGCAACUGCAUUGCCCAUCUCCUAGCUACAGGUUUGAACAUGGAACUAGUUACUGGGUCAAGAAUUGUACUCAUGCUUUAAACAUACUGAUGUGAAAUGGCUUUUCCUGAAAUUUCUUAUAUGCGGAACAGAUUGGCAACUUACAUUUAACAAUUUCUUCUGUGAAAUUCAGUAUUAAUUAAGAACAAUCCUUUCCAGUUGCCUUUUUAUAGUACAUCUGCAGCCAAUAGGAACAGCACUCCAGCCAAAAGUAUCAUCAAUCUUUUUUUCUCCCUCGGAAUUUACAAAUGCAGUUGCUAACAUCAAGAUAGUUGCUCUGGUCCUACUAACAUGCAACAAACUGGCAAAUGCCCUGUUGAAGCUCUCGUAAAAUUCAAACUCAUGAUUACGGUCAAAAUAUGGUCUCACACACACGGUAACAUCUAUAUUUGCAAAUACAAACAAUUUAUGUACAUCUGGCUAAAAUACAAAUGCUAAUCAACGGCAAAUAAAUAGAGAGUGGCAGCACUAUCACAUUAUUCAGUGCACAUAGGUCCCCUGCCUCUCUUCUCUAUGUAAUUGAGAAUUUAGUGAAACAAUUAAACACUGGCAUGAGGUGUCGAGGACGUGCUAAUCCAUGUAACAGUGACAGUAUCAGGUGAAGGCGGUAUCGGACCACUCUUUAACAACACAACAUCAUCUGAAGGACUAUUUAUAUUCUCUGCCUUUUCCGCAUUGUAGUCUCUGCUUUGUAUUUCUUUUAGAAUCUCUAACACUUUUUCCAUAGAUGGUCUCAACUCCUUUGCAUUCUGCAGACAUUGAAAAGCCAACUCAGCCACAGCCCUAAUCAUUUUUCUCGCUGCGUAAUCUGAUUCAUACCCCAGACUAGGGUCAACAAGUUCAUUCAAUGAAUUGCUUUGGAUUUUAUUGAUUGCCAUGGUAGACAAAUUAAUUUCAUGCCGGUGUCUAGAGAUAUCAACAGCAGGCAUUGAUGAUAUAAGCUCAAUCAAGACUACCCCAAAGCUAUAGACAUCACUCUUAUCGGUCAGUUGGUAGCAUUGAUGAUAUUCUGGAUCAAGAUAACCAGGAGUCCCUUGUGGAGCAGUUGAAACAUGGGUGACAUCUGUUGGAAAGAGUCGAGAUAGGCCAAAAUCUGCAACUUUAACACAGAAAUUGUUGUCAAGGAGAAUAUUGCUGGUUUUCACGUCACGGUGCACAAUAACAGAAGCAUGAAGAUAUGCCAGUGCACAUGCAAUCUCCACAGCAAUGUUCAUUCGAGGAGACCAAGGGAGUGCACCAGGCUUUGCUCUUUCACCAUGAAGAUGAUCAGCAAGUGUACCAUUGGGAAUGUACUGAUAUACUAGUAGGAGUUCACGGCUGUCCCG
This 15288-nucleotide long non-coding RNA is filed under the name Populus trichocarpa (black cottonwood). RNAcentral's name for it is "long non-coding RNA (PTRI_LNC004555)". The record is from RNAcentral. Lineage: Eukaryota; Viridiplantae; Streptophyta; Magnoliopsida; Malpighiales; Salicaceae.